Molecule: long non-coding RNA, 1895 nt
Filed under: Olea europaea subsp. europaea
Lineage: Eukaryota; Viridiplantae; Streptophyta; Magnoliopsida; Lamiales; Oleaceae
Source: RNAcentral
AAGUCAUUGAGUAGGUAUUCUAAAAUGUCCCUUCAUUUCGCAUACAUUUCACAAAAGCUAAUCGGUGUACAGGAUGAUUUAUGGCAGGCUGUGGACUGCAAAAGGCCGAGUCCUUAUGAGUUAAACUCUCAUCUAUAGGUAAAAAGCUGAUUUAACCUUCUUGUUUUUUCUUUGCCAAACAAAAGUAAGUAUGCAUAUUGCAUGGCCUCGGCUCUUCACAGAGUGUAGCAUAUUCUCCCGCAAGCCCUUUAUGUUGCAGGUUUUACGUCUAAACUAUUAUACACUACACAAUCUCUUUUUCACAGUUCAAUGGAGUAUGUGGCCUAAAGCUAAUUUUGAAAUUUUUGUUUUGUUUUUUUUCAGCCCCCAUGGGACUUUUUUCAGCCCCCAUAGGACACGAAAACUGGAAAGAAGUUUAUCCUCUAUUUUACUUGUGGAUGUGACUAUAGCAUGAAGGUGAAAUUAUGUUUCUAUUUUGUACAUCAUUAUAAUAAGAAGUUCAUCUUAUGUUACUCUUGUGGACAUUUCAUUUUCAUUUUUUUGAAUUGCAAAGAAUUUCAUACUUCUUCUUUACCCCGUAAUGUGGACUAAUUUUGUUCAGAACUUGUCGGGCUGUUGAUGUUCAAGUUGAACUAACAUAUGGAAAAUUUGGAAAAUGGUGAUUUGAUAAGAGAUCAUACCUUGAUGGACCCACCUCAAAAUCUUUUCUUACCCCCUUCUCGUGUUUCUAAGAGUGUUGUACGUGCUGCACCUUUAUAUUCUUCGUACAUUAUUCAAUUCGUUCGGUUCUACAUCUAUUUGUUUAUUAAUUAAAUCAUAUUUACUAGAUCUUUAAAUUGGGAGGUAUAUAAUAGGAAAUUUUCCUUAUUCUUCUUAAAGAAUGGGUGAACUUCUUAGCAUGAAAUGCGCAUAUACUUUUGCACUAAUUUCUUAAUGUCAUUUCAUUCUUCGGGAUGUACAAAUCCACCUUUUCCUCUUUGCUUAGGAAGUUUACGCCAUGUGUUCCAAUCUGGUGCCAAUAUGAUAUGUUUAAGGAUUAUAUUAGUACUUGAUAAUAAAAAUUCUAGACUUUAUUCUGCCGGAAUGUAAAAGAAUCCUUGGGAGGCUCGGAAGGAAAAAUGUUGNGUGUGUGAGAUGAGAAUUGAACGGUAAAAUUAAAGCAAAGCGACAAUGUUUUGCUCCUAAUAGCAAAGGCAAAAAUAUGAAAAAUAAACGAAAAUGGAAUGGAUCACUGUUAUAGCAAUGGUAAACUUCACAUUAAUAGAGCAUCAUCAAGGAAAAAAGGGAAAUAAAAAGAAAAGGUGAGUAAUAAUGGAUGGCUUCUCAUCUGACGAAGAUAUGGAGGUAGGUGAUCAACCACAAAUCCUGUGCAUUUAAUAAUUUGUUUAUGCAGGCUGAUAAAAUUGAAAGUUUGCUGAAAUCAUCCAACAACUGAUAAGUAAUGUAUUAGUUUUGAUACUCUUUUAACAAUUUCCAAGAUUUGCAAGUCAUGUUCUUUAUCAUGUUUUAUUUAUAGAAGCAAGGUGAUCUAAAGCUUCAUGUAUGAGCUUUGGAGUCUGAAAGAGCUUUCCAACAUGUUGCAUCUAUUCAAAGUACAGUUGGAUGUGUAAGGCAGCUUCAUAUCUAGUUAGAAGUCGACCCAACAAGGCCUUUUCCAUACCUGUCUAGCAAUUAAUAUCAAUGCCAUCUUUCUCUUCUUUAUUUAUGUUUUGUCAAACUGCAAUUUUUUGAGCUUAACUUCUGUCUAAAUUAUUUUCAUUUCUUUGUGCUUUCUUCUGUUGUUAGAUGAGAGGGAAAGCAUAAAACUUGUAUUAUUUGCCUUCUUUUUCCAGCAACUUGAUUUCCUUAUUCUACAUGUAAAAUAAUUCCUUAUUUUCAUGUUCUCAUGUAAAAAU